This 72-nucleotide transfer RNA is filed under the name Phrynosoma platyrhinos (Desert horned lizard). Its description in RNAcentral is "tRNA-OTHER". Lineage: Eukaryota; Metazoa; Chordata; Lepidosauria; Squamata; Phrynosomatidae. The record is from RNAcentral.
ACCAGCAUGGCAUAGUGGUUUGAGUGUUGGACUACAACUCUGAGGACCAGGGUUCAAUUCCCAGCUCAGCCA